Molecule: ribosomal RNA, 892 nt
Filed under: bacterium SBF-B1-d0
Lineage: Bacteria
Description: bacterial SSU rRNA
Rfam family: Bacterial small subunit ribosomal RNA
Source: RNAcentral
UACAUGCAGUCUGAGCGRACAGACGAGAGUGCUUGCACUCUCUGAUGUUAGCGGCGGACGGGUGAGUAACACGUGGGUAACCUACCUAUAAGACUGGGAUAACUUCGGGAAACCGGAGCUAAUACCGGAUAAUAUCUAGCUUCGCAUGAAGCGAUAGUGAAAGACGGUUCUGCUGUCACUUAUAGAUGGACCCGCGGUGUAUUAGCUGGUUGGUGAGGUAACGGCUCACCAAGGCAACGAUACAUAGCCGACCUGAGAGGGUGAUCGGCCACACUGGGACUGAGACACGGCCCAGACUCCUACGGGAGGCAGCAGUAGGGAAUCUUCCGCAAUGGACGAAAGUCUGACGGAGCAACGCCGCGUGAGUGAAGAAGGUUUUCGGAUCGUAAAACUCUGUUGUAAGGGAAGAACAAGUACGUUAGUAACUGAACGUACCUUGACGGUACCUUACCAGAAAGCCACGGCUAACUACGUGCCAGCAGCCGCGGUAAUACGUAGGUGGCAAGCGUUAUCCGGAAUUAUUGGGCGUAAAGCGCGCGUAGGCGGUCUCUUAAGUCUGAUGUGAAAGCCCCCGGCUCAACCGGGGAGGGUCAUUGGAAACUGGGAGACUUGAGUGCAGAAGAGGAGAGUGGAAUUCCAUGUGUAGCGGUGAAAUGCGCAGAGAUAUGGAGGAACACCAGUGGCGAAGGCGGCUCUCUGGUCUGUAACUGACGCUGAGGUGCGAAAGCGUGGGGAUCAAACAGGAUUAGAUACCCUGGUAGUCCACGCCGUAAACGAUGAGUGCUAAGUGUUGGGGGGUUUCCGCCCCUCAGUGCUGCAGCUAACGCAUUAAGCACUCCGCCUGGGGGAGUACGGUCGCAAGACUGAAACUCAAGAAAUUKAACGGGGAAAA